GGGCGCAUGGUGUAGUUGGUUUAUCACGCUCGCUUAGCAAUUUCCGAAAUCUGCGAGAGGUGUUGGGUUCAAUUCCCAAUGCGUCCA
Molecule: non-coding RNA, 87 nt
Organism: Mycena belliarum
Lineage: Eukaryota; Fungi; Basidiomycota; Agaricomycetes; Agaricales; Mycenaceae
Source: the annotation of a GenBank genome assembly